GACGAACGCUGGCGGCGUGCUUAACACAUGCAAGUCGAACGGAAAGGCCCUGCUUUUGUGGGGUGCUCGAGUGGCGAACGGGUGAGUAACACGUGAGUAACCUGCCCUUGACUUUGGGAUAACUUCAGGAAACUGGGGCUAAUACCGGAUAGGAGCUCCUGCUGCAUGGUGGGGGUUGGAAAGUUUCGGCGGUUGGGGAUGGACUCGCGGCUUAUCAGCUUGUUGGUGGGGUAGUGGCUUACCAAGGCUUUGACGGGUAGCCGGCCUGAGAGGGUGACCGGCCACAUUGGGACUGAGAUACGGCCCAGACUCCUACGGGAGGCAGCAGUGGGGAAUAUUGCACAAUGGGCGGAAGCCUAAUGCAGCAACGCCGCGUGCGGGAGGACGGCCUUCGGGUUGUAAACCGCUUUCGCCUGUGACGAAGCGUGAGUGACGGUAAUGGGUAAAGAAGCACCGGCUAACUACGU
This 467-nucleotide ribosomal RNA is filed under the name uncultured bacterium. RNAcentral describes it as "partial 16S ribosomal RNA". It matches the Rfam family "Bacterial small subunit ribosomal RNA", at positions 28 to 506 of the family's 1533-position model. The record is from RNAcentral.